RNAcentral lists this long non-coding RNA (1226 nucleotides) under Nicotiana benthamiana. Its description in RNAcentral is "long non-coding RNA (NBEN_LNC023007)". Lineage: Eukaryota; Viridiplantae; Streptophyta; Magnoliopsida; Solanales; Solanaceae. The record is from RNAcentral.
UUAGGAGAAAAACUUUCUCUCAAUAUUUUUAUUCUCUCUCUUUUAUUAUAUUGAAUCUUUUAAAUCUAGGUCACUUCACCAAAUUAUAUAAUAAUAUUAUUCUUAUCUAGUAUUCUUUUCUUGGUUGUCUUAUGUAUUUAUUUUUGUUAUGAAUUAACUCCAGGCUAAUAAAGAUAUUAACACAUAAAUAGCUAUUGGGUUGAGAAGAGUUAUUGGCCCGAGAACAAAUAAUAAGGUCAGGUUAAUUUGGGCCCAAGGGACUAAUUACGAGUGAUUCUGAGUUAGUCAGAGGGGCUAGUUCUAUUGAUAUUAUGCCCGAGGGGCGGUUUAUGAUACAUGUUUUUCCCAAGGGGCUGUUUACGUUUCUAUCAUUUUUACUCACUCUGUUAUCACUCGUUUAAAACUAUUGAAAGUUGUUUUAAAAGGUUUUACCGAAAUUGAGCAUGAUUUACGAACCAAAUAAUUUUUGUGCUGUUUUGAAAAUAUAUUGCAUUUGCUAUAGCAUAUUGAUGUGGCUUAUUUGUUUUCUUACUGUUCAGUUUUUAUUUAUUUUUAUUACUUACUGAGUUGGCAUACUCACAUUGUUCCAUGCACCUUGUGUGCAGAUUGAGGUAGUUCUGAACCGGGUAGCGGGUGUUGAUUGCUCAGUGGUAAAGUCAUUGGAGUUAGCAAGGUAGCUGUCCAACGUUCGCAACAGUGAUUUUCUCCUUCUUGUCUUCCUUUGAUUGUAUUUGGUAUAUUUUUAGACUCGUUGUUGUAUUCAGGCCUUAGUAGAUGUUCGUGGUUUGUGACACCUCGACGUCGGGCUUGUGUACUUAUUCUGCACUGUUCAUUUAGACUUACAUUAUGAAAUAACUAAUUAAUUAAAGGCUUAAAAAUAAUUAUUAUUGAUUAAAUGGUUAAUUCGGGACUUGUGUCAGCUAGUCUAGUUUCACAAUAUGCACCAUCACGACCGGGUCGAUUUUAGGGUUGUGACAACAACGGUGUUGGACGCCAUCACGGCGUUCCUUUAAUUUGAGUGAAAGCUCAGUGAAUGAAAGGUAGGGGUGUACAAAUGAAGCCGACAAAUUGUACUAACCCGAUCGAGAAAAAAAUUUGACUAUGGUUUGGUAUUGGGAAAAAAUCCGACCAUAUUUGAAUUGAUUUUAACUAAAAAUAGUCAAACAGAAACCAAUCCAACACAAUGUUAUAUGUAUAAAAGUUGUAAAUACAUAAAAAUAUUUGUC